RNA transcript from Diospyros lotus (date-plum), 4006 nucleotides. It is a transcript of the gene named lysine-specific demethylase JMJ26-like, with no coding region annotated. The transcript is spliced from 13 exons. The record is from RefSeq and is a predicted model, not a curated record. Lineage: Eukaryota; Viridiplantae; Streptophyta; Magnoliopsida; Ericales; Ebenaceae.
UAAACAGCUCAGCUCUCCUCGCUCUCUCUAUCUCUCUCUCUCCGACUCCCAAUGUCAGUCAGUCAGUCACUAAGUGCUGCUUGAUAAUCUUCAUCUUCCACUGCAUCUAUCAUCAUCGUCUCCGAUUUAUCUGAUUUGUAUCCAAGAAGAAGAAGAAGAAGAAGAAGAAGGAGAAGAAGCGGCGGCGGCGGGAAGAGUCCAAAUGAACAAGGACGAAGCACAAGAACAAGAAGAACAAAUCGUCAGCCUUUCUUCUCCAGCUGCUGUCUGCAAAAAGCAGGAGCAGCAGGAGGAGGAGGAGGAUGGCACUGUCGAUGAUGAUGAUCAUCGUAAUCAUAAUAAUAGUAACAAUGCUGCUGCUUCUGCAACUGAAGAUGGCAAUGGAGACCAUGCCCUUGGGGAAACCAGCCCCCCAAGGGCAAGGAAGAGGUCGUCGUCUUCCUCUAUUGCUGCUGCUGCUGCUGCUGCUUCCGCCACCGCUACUACUAAUGCUAGGGUUAGGGGUAGGGGUAGGGGCAGGGGCAGGGGCAGGGGUAGGGGUAGGGGUAGGGGUAGGUCUAGGGCAGCUGAUUCAAGUGCACAACAAGAAGAUGAUGAUGAUCAUAGUAAUCAUAAUAACAAUGCUGCUGCUUCUGCAACUGAUGAUGGAAAUGGAGACCAUGCCAAUGGGGAAACCAGCUCCCCAAGGGUAAGGAAGAGGUCGCCGUCUUCCUCUAUUGCUGCUGCUGCUACUGCUACCACUGCUACUAAUGCUAGGAUUAGGGGUAGGGGCAGGGGCAGGGGCAGGGGUAGGGGUAGGGGUAGGGGUAGGGCUAGGGCAGCUGAUUCAAAUGCACAACAAGAAGAUGCUGAUCAACAGCAGCAGCAGAUUGGAAGCUCCGCCAUCCACGCCAGACGCAAUCCUCUCAGGUCUGCUAGAGCUUCCCCCCGGCAGCUACUCAACCCAACCAAACCCCUCCGGCCUCCUAUCAAGAGGGACCAACACGGUAAUCCCAUUCCCUCAAACAUGUGUCAUCAGUGCCAGAGGAAUGACAAAGGACGCGUUGUUCGCUGCACCUAUUGUAACAGCAAGCGAUACUGUGUUCCCUGUAUGACCAGAUGGUAUCCUAGGAUGACAGAGGACGAUUUCCUCUCCUCUUGUCCUGUUUGUCGUGGGAACUGUAAUUGCAAAUCUUGCCUCCGUUUGGAUGUACCCAUCAAAGACUUGAAUCCAGAACCGAGUAUUGCUGACCAGGAAAAAAUUGAGCACUCCAAAUAUAUUCUACAAGCACUACUUCCAUUUCUAGAAAAAUUCAAUGCAGAACAAAACAUGGAGAAGGAGGUUGAGGCUAAGAUUCAAGGUUUAUCGUCAUCAAAGAUAAAGCUACAACAGGCAACAUGCAGCUUAAAUGAGCGUGCCUAUUGCAACAACUGCAGAACUUCCAUAGUUGACUUCCACAGAAGCUGUCCACACUGUUCUUAUGACCUCUGUCUUAUAUGUUGCGGGGAGUUCCGUUGUGGCAACCUACAGGGAGGUGAGGAGGAAGUUAUAAUGCAAUUUGUUGACAAUGGACUGGAUUACUUGCAUGGUGAGGGCAGUUCUGGAUCCACAUGGAGAACAGAAACUUCAGAAAUUGCUGUUGAAACUAGCUGUGCUUAUAAUAUAUUGUUAACAUCUGAAUGGAAAGCCAAUGAAGAUGGCAGCAUUCCUUGUCCCCCUGUACGCAUGGGUGGUUGUGGAUGUGGCAUCUUGGAAUUGAAGUGUAUAUUGCCUGAAAAUUGGGUCUCAGAGUUGUUAGAGGAUGCAAAAAAGAUAGCUAAAUUUUACAACCUUCACAACGAGCUUGAAUCUUUUCCACAAACUUGUCCAUGUUUCAGUGAGGCAGGAGAAGUUGACGCUGGUAGUAAACACUUAAGGAAGGCAUCAUCUCGUGAAAAUGCUGCCGAUAAUUAUUUGUUUUGUCCAGCAGCUAGGGAUAUUGAAGGAGAAGAUUUGAAGCAUUUCCAGUGGCAUUGGUACAAAGGCGAGCCUGUGAUUGUUAGUGAUGUGCUUGAGACUACAUCUGGCUUGAGUUGGGAACCAAUGGUUAUGUGGCGUGCAUGUCGUCAGAUUAAGAAUACGAAGCAUUCUCUACUUUUAGAUGUGAAUGCCAUUAGUUGCUUGGAUUGGUGUGAGGUGGAGAUUAAUAUCCACCAAUUUUUUAAAGGGUAUAUGGAAGGUCGACUGGACACUCUUGGAUGGCCUCAGAUUCUUAAGCUGAAAGACUGGCCCCCAUCAAGCUUAUUUGAGGAACGUUUGCCUCGGCAUGGUGCUGAGUUCAUCAGUAGCUUGCCCUUUAAAGAAUAUACACACCCUCGCAGCGGUUUUCUAAAUCUUGCUGCAAAAUUACCCAAGCGCGUUUUGAAGCCCGACAUGGGACCAAAAACAUAUAUUGCUUAUGGAGUUGCUCAGGAGCUGGGACGAGGGGACUCUGUAACGAAGCUUCAUUGUGACAUGUCUGAUGCGGUGAAUGUUUUGACACAUACUCAUGCGACAGUCCUUAAUCAACAUACUCUUGCCACCGUGCAGAAGUUAAAGGAACAGCACAUUGCCCAGGAUGAAAGGGAAAUGCUUGAAAAUGGUCUGAUAAUGGACCAAGUACUUGAGAAGUGUCUAUUACCAUCUAUGGAGAAAGAUGUUUGCUGCUCAGACAUUCAGUUGGAUUCAAAUUCUUCUGCUGCAGCAUCAAGCAGUAUGCAAAUUUCUAAUGUAGAUAAUGUUGGGGUUCAAAUCAUCCCAGCAAAUGAUAAUGUUGUGUUAAGGAACCCAGGUGCAGAAUGUGGUUCUGAUAUUCUAUCAGAAGAGAAUAAUAGCAACUGUGAGGACUGCAGUAGUGAAUAUAGGAAAAAAGGUUUUCGGGGAGGAAAGAGGAAGAGAGGAGAACUUAGUGCAGGUUUGGCUAGAAAGUGUAAGUGUACAGCUAAAAAUGCUACUACUGAUCCUGAAAUCAUGGGAGAUACUGGAAUUGGUGAAGAACAAAGGAAUUUUAGUAGUGUUCCUGUAUUAGAAAAGGAUUUACAAGAAAUUGAAGAUGUGGAUGGAGGUGCGGUCUGGGACAUCUUUCGGAGAGAAGAUGUUCCAAAGCUACAAGCAUAUCUGAGGAAACACUUCAAAGAAUUCAGGCAUACAUAUUGUUCUCGAGUGCAACAGGUUGUUCACCCAAUUCAUGACCAGACAUUUUAUUUGACGCUAGAACACAAAAAGAGGCUCAAGGAGGAAUAUGGAAUUGAACCAUGGACUUUUGUGCAAAAACUAGGUGAUGCUGUUUUUAUACCAGCUGGCUGUCCCCAUCAAGUUAGAAAUCUGAAGUCAUGCAUAAAGGUUGCACUUGACUUUGUGUCACCAGAAAAUGUUCGUGAGUGUCUUCGACUAACGGAGGAAUUUCGUGUACUUCCUAAAAAUCACAGGGCUAAGGAAGACAAAUUGGAGUAUUUUCAAUUGGUUCAAUGGAAUCAGCUGGCUCAGUUUCAAGACCUUCAAGGAAAGAUGUAGAACCUGAGCAGACAUCUUCUUUGAAUAAUUUCUCCGUUUGAAGGUGAGUGGGAAAGGGCUUAUAGAAAGGUUCAACUUCAUGGAAUGUAACAUCAAUAGAGACAAAGGUAGGCAAUGCAAACAAAUACUUUUGAGGAAAGGCUGUGAGUAGAAACAAAAUCAGGGAAGUACCCGGAGAGGGUGGACAAAGGACUUUUAUCUCCCAAGACUUGAGAAGGAAGCCGAUUGAUAAGAUGAGCAGCUGUUUGGACUGCUUCUCCCAAAGAAAUUUUGGGACAUUGGAUUGAAAGAGGAGGGUGUUGUAAAACCAAGGGUUUAAACAGUAUUUCAAAAGCAAUCUGUAACUAAAUCCUUUGAAUUGAUUUGUAAUUGAAGAUUUUUACAAAUCCAUCACCAUCACUAUCAUGAUUAUUCUUACAAAUCUGUAACUGAAUUUUGAAUUGAUUUGUAACUGAAGGUUGUUACAAAUCCAUCACCAUCAUUAUCAUGAUUGCU